This 3625-nucleotide long non-coding RNA is filed under the name Canis lupus familiaris (dog). Its description in RNAcentral is "lncRNA (ENSCAFG00000051556.1)". The record is from RNAcentral. Lineage: Eukaryota; Metazoa; Chordata; Mammalia; Carnivora; Canidae.
UUUUUUUUUUUUUUAAGAUUAUAUUUAUUUAUUCGUGAGAGACAGAGAGAGUGAGUCAGAGAUGCAGGCAGAGGGAGAAGCAGGCUCCAUGCAGGGAGCCCGACAGGGGACUCGAUCCCAGGUCUCUAGGAUCACACCCCAGGCUGAAGGCGGCGCUAAACCACUGAGCCACCAAAGACUCCAUUUCUAAGUAAGGUCAUAUUCUGAGGUUCUAGGAAGGAUGUGAAUCUAGGGGGAUAUUUUUAUUCUCUUUUUGGGGGCGGGGAGGGCUAAGGGGAUAUUUUUCAAGCCAGUACAUUUAUACUUUUUCUCAUCCAUUUUUACUUUAUAUUUUUAUAUAUAUUACUAAAGUAGUACUGAAAUAUAUAUUUUUAAAAUAUGGAGCCAUACAUGUAUUGGCAGGGCAUACUUAAAAAAUUUUCCCUGACAUUUGGAGACCAUUUGUCCCUGUCACAAGUGUCCACGUGAAGAAACUUGGGUGGCUUUAGGACGAGAAAAGUUGUCUGGAGCAGAGGCUGAGCCAGGUGUUCCUGGGUAGCCCCAGCUGAAGGGAGAGAUACAUUCUGAUGCUUCCCAUAGUUCAGGGAGCCGCAUCCUUCCAGAACGCCUGCACAAACAAGGAAUCUGCUGGGCAUCCACAGCUGCUUGGUAUUUUGCUAAUUGCCAGGAAGGCGUCAUCUGCCCAGCGCAUCUGUUGAUUUGUUCUGUUUUUUUGAAAGCAAACAAGAAAAAUAAAACAAAACCCCAGAAAGCCUUCUUGUUGACGGACAUCCUUCAGAACCAUCUCCCAGCUUCUGUGUUGUCUCUAUACACACCUGCCUCUCUCCUGCUGCCGUGUUGAAGGAGGGGUUGAUUAGAUACAAAAUUGGGGCUCAGCAUCCCAGCUUCCUCCCCCUGGAACACAUGUGCCCCCACCAAAUCUCCCCCACACUUUCACCUUCUCAGGCCGGUCCCCUCGGGCACAGCAGAUGCUGUGGUGGCAGCGUGGGGUCAGUGAGGGCACAGGAACGCUCUGGGCUGCAGUCAGAGGGACAGAGCUGGCCCACACCAAGAGCUUCCUCUCGGGGUCAUUUCUAGAACAUCCGGCCCAGAGGUAAAGUGGAGCUUUUUCCAGCUCAGCUCUUACCCUCUCUCCCUCAAGAAGGGGAGCUUCCUCUGUCCUCAUAGCUCUCUUGCUGAAGAUCCAGCCCCCAGGGAGGGGCAGCUGACUUAAGCUUCUCACUCUAUCUGGGGCAGAUGAAGAUCCUUGAAGAUCAGGGCCCUAGUUGUCUGAUUCAACCUCUCUUCCUCCAUCUCUCUCUACCUCACAAGGCCUGGGUGCCUUCUCUCUCUUUUGGUUCCCAAGAUCCACGAGUCCAGUUGCCCUUCCCCCGCACCCCAGAAAGUCCUAGAGGCUGCUUCUCUCUCUAUUUUACCAGUCAACCUAGCAGCGCACUCUAUUUUAUGACGAUAACAGAAAGACAAAAAUGUGGAUAAGAGGGGUGCCUGGCUGGCUCAGUCCAUGAAGUAUGUGACUCUCAAUCUUAGGCUUCAGAGUUCAAGCCCCACUUGGGCAUGGAGCCUACUUAAAUAAAUAGAUAAAUAUAAAAAUAAAUAAUGCAAAUAAUAAUAAAAAACGAAUGGCGACUGCCACACUUCUGCGCUCUUGGGGAGAGGCACUGUUCCCCUCAGAGGCGGACCGGGUUCUGUUGGAGAAAAUGUUGAAGGGCGUUUGGAUUUUGAGAGGCAGGACAUCCCAGAUCCGACCAGAUGUGGUGGGGAGUGAGGCAGGGAAUGUGCUAAACUGUUCCAUGUAAUAAACGAAGUAAGAGGAAUUUGGGGAUUGUUCACUAUCAGCUUCUUAGUGAUCAGAGAAGAGGCUGGGGAUCUGGAUGAGAAAUUUGGGCAAAAGAGAGACCCGGAAAUGUGGAGGAAGUCAGGGUCUAGUAGGGGACCCAAGCCAGUGAGAAGUUCCCUUCUCGAGGUGAGGACUCAUCAAUUUGUAGAAACUGAGAUAUCUGACAUUGUAUUUGAAGCUCCAUAUACUUCUCUUCCCCCGAAUCUUGAGUGACCCCUGUUGUGCACAGCCACCGUGUGACUGCAGCGCUCUGAGAGAGGCAAGCGGAAAGGGUGACUUUCAUCUCCUGAGUGGUGAAGGGCAGAGAGAGGCCGGUGGCCCCAGAAGACAAGGGGGUGAGUGAAGACUGGGAUUCUGUGGGGGCAGGAAUGACAGGAGCAAUAACCCCGAGAAUGAACAUUGGGAGGAGGGCUCAGGCAGUUUUAUUUGAAGGUUAAAUAGAGGGAAACCCGGUAGGAUGGAAGCCUUGAGGACAUCUGAGUUCCAAAAGAAUGGUUACUUCCCCAGACUGCAGCCACAUCCCCCCACUGACCUCGGCUGACAGCGCCAUCAGCCCUGUGGGUAAGCUCAGGAGUUAACAUGUGAGGACCUGUGGAGGAUGGGGCCACCCCUCCUGCCUCACCCCAGGGUCAGGACCAGCUGAGAGGGAGGAGGAGCCAGCCCCCAGCCAUCCAGAUGAGCUCCCCCUCCCUGCCUCUGCUCCGCAUUCACCUUCCCUUCCAACACUACUGCCACUCGCUCCCAUCCCACUGCGGUCACUGUGUCCUCUUCCAAGUGGAAUGGAAGGUGCCCCAUUACAGCAUCAAGCAGGGAGUCUGGCACCUCCGCUGGCCCCUGCUGCAUGGUAGGACUAGGGCCACCGUGUCAUCUGUGGUGUCUGGCCACAGUAGGAUGACUCUUGCCUAACAAUCUCUGUCCUACUAGGGCUGCCCCUUUCCUUGUCUUUUGACUUGAGAGAGCAGACUUUUGUUGGGACUUUGAUUGUAUAUUUUGGUGUUUCUGGCCUCUUCUGUUCCAAUCUGGGCACAUGAGACAAUGAGGAAACCCAGAAACUCAUUGCUGAACUCCUUGAGUCUCAACCCCUAAUGGGUCUGCCUUCCAUCCACUUUUCAGAUCCUUCUUGGGUUUGUUUUGUAUCUAAUGUCCAGGGUUUUAAACCAGGCCUCACUCGUUAUUUUCAUGGUCGUAUUUUUGGAGAAAGGUUUAUUUCUCCCAACUAAUCUGAUCUACAGUAGGAAAAUUUUUCACUUCAAGUAUCGGUGUAAUUAAUAAGAAUCCCUGGCCUGGACGUACUUGGCUGCCCUCCUUUUUACAUAUUAUAAUUUGCUUAAAAAAAAAAAGUCCCCAACAUUAUAUUAUUGGAGUCUGAACUUGAAUAAUGAACUUCAGCCUGUAGAUCAUGUAUUGUUACACCUCACAUGUCAAUUAACCAUGAGCAAGUUUCUGUUGUUCUAAAGUAGAGGAAGAGUGAGGUGUGUGAGAGAGUGUCUCAGAGGAAAAGCCUCAGUGAACACAUCAAGGCCUCAAGCUGCGUCCCGGCGAACUUGCUCUCUAGAAAAUUCACCCAGGGGACAUUCUGUCUGGCACAGUGGGUCCUGCAUGGGGUUGAGGCUCUCAAGUCCCCUGGCACCCCCAAAUCCAGUACAGAUGACAUGACUCUUGGUGGUGGGAUUUUAGACUUGCAUUUUCUUUCUUUCUUAUAUUUUGAUGUGUUGUUUGAACAUUUGAUAUUUUAUUCUAAUCUAUUCUAUUCCAUGAAUGACCAUGUUUUCUACCCUUGUUCCCCCC